UACCUGGAGGAAGAGAAAGAAAAAUCGAUUUCCUGAGUAGCGGCGAGCGAAACGGAAAGAGCCCAAACCAAGAAGCUUGCUUCUUGGGGUUGUAGGACACUCUAUACGGAGUUACAAAAGAAAGUUAUAAAUGAAGCGGUCUGGAAAGGCCCGCCAAAGACGGUAACAGCCCGGUAGUUGAAAUGGCUUUCCCUCCAGAGUGGAUCCUGAGUACGGCGGAACACGUGAAAUUCCGUCGGAAUCCGGGAGGACCAUCUCCCAAGGCUAAAUACUCCCUAGUGACCGAUAGUGAACCAGUACCGUGAGGGAAAGGUGAAAAGCACCCCGGAAGGGGAGUGAAACAGUUCCUGAAACCGUGUGCCUACAAGUAGUUAGAGCCCGUUAAUGGGUGAUAGCGUGCCUUUUGUAGAAUGAACCGGCGAGUUACGAUUUGUUGCAAGGUUAAGCGGAAAAAGCGGAGCCGUAGCGAAAGCGAGUCUGAAUAGGGCGCAUAAGUAACAGGUCGUAGACCCGAAACCAGGUGAUCUACCCAUGUCCAGGAUGAAGGUAAGGUAAUACUUACUGGAGGUCCGAACCCACGCACGUUGAAAAGUGCGGGGAUGAGGUGUGGGUAGCGGAGAAAUUCCAAUCGAACUUGGAGAUAGCUGGUUCUCUCCGAAAUAGCUUUAGGGCUAGCCUCGAGGUAAAGAGUCAUGGAGGUAGAGCACUGUUUGGACUAGGGGCCCUUCUCGGGUUACCGAAUUCAGAUAAACUCCGAAUGCCAUGUACUUAUACUCGGGAGUCAGACUGCGAGUGAUAAGAUCCGUAGUCGAAAGGGAAACAGCCCAGACCACCAGUUAAGGUCCCCAAAUAUAUGUUAAGUGGAAAAGGAUGUGGGGUUGCUUAGACAACCAGGAUGUUGGCUUAGAAGCAGCCACCAUUGAAAGAGUGCGUAAUAGCUCACUGGUCGAGUGACCCCGCGCCGAAAAUGUACCGGGGCUAAACAUAUUACCGAAACUGUGGAUGAACCUCUUUAGAGGUUCGUGGUAGGAGAGCGUUCUAAGGGCGGUGAAGUCAGACCGGAAGGACUGGUGGAGCGCUUAGAAGUGAGAAUGCCGGUAUGAGUAGCGAAAGAAGGGUGAGAAUCCCUUCCACCGAAUAUCUAAGGUUUCCUGAGGAAGGCUCGUCCGCUCAGGGUUAGUCGGGACCUAAGCCGAGGCCGAUAGGCGUAGGCGAUGGACAACAGGUAGAGAUUCCUGUACCAGUGCUAAUUGUUUAACCGAUGGGGUGACACAGAAGGAUAGGGAAUCGCACGAAUGGAAAUGUGCGUCCAA
Molecule: ribosomal RNA, 1313 nt
Filed under: Listeria monocytogenes
Lineage: Bacteria; Bacillati; Bacillota; Bacilli; Caryophanales; Listeriaceae
Description: partial 23S ribosomal RNA
Rfam family: Bacterial large subunit ribosomal RNA
Source: RNAcentral